This 439-nucleotide ribosomal RNA is filed under the name uncultured bacterium. Its description in RNAcentral is "partial 16S ribosomal RNA". It matches the Rfam family "Bacterial small subunit ribosomal RNA", at positions 338 to 795 of the family's 1533-position model. The record is from RNAcentral.
CCUACGGGGGGCUGCAGUGGGGGAUAUUGCACAAUGGAGGAAACUCUGAUGCAGCGACGCCGCGUGAGGGAAGACGGUCUUCGGAUUGUAAACCUCUGUCUUUGGGGAAGAAAAUGACGGUACCCAAAGAGGAAGCUCCGGCUAACUACGUGCCAGCAGCCGCGGUAAUACGUAGGGAGCGAGCGUUGUCCGGAAUUACUGGGUGUAAAGGGAGCGGAGGCGGGCGAGAAAGUUGAAUGUUAAAUCUACCGGCUUAACUGGUAGCUGCGUUCAAAACUUCUUGUCUUGAGUGAAGUAGAGGCAGGCGGAAUUCCUAGUGUAGCGGUGAAAUGCGUAGAUAUAUGGAAGAACACCAGUGGCGAAGGCGGCCGCCUGGCCUGUUACUGACGCUGAGGCACGAAAGCGUGGGGAGCAAAUAGGAUUAGAUACCCGAGUAGUC